GAUGAAGAACGUAGUGAAAUGCGAUAAGUAGUGUGAAUUGCAGAAUUCAGAGAAUCAUCGAAUCUUUGAACGCACAUUGCGCCCUUUGGUAUUCCAAAGGGCAUGCCUGUUCGAGCGUCAUUUGUACCCUCAAGCUUUGCUUGGUGUUGGGCGUCUUGUCUCUAGCUUUGCUGGAGACUCGCCUUAAAGUAAUUGGCAGCCGGCCUACUGGUUUCGGAGCGCAGCACAAGUCGCACUCUCUAUCAGCAAAGGUCUAGCAUCCAUUAAGCCUUUUUUUCAACUUUUGACCUCGGAUCAGGUAGGGAUACCCGCUGAACUUAAGCAUAUCAAUAAGCGGAGGA
RNAcentral lists this unclassified non-coding RNA (341 nucleotides) under soil metagenome. RNAcentral's name for it is "partial contains 5.8S ribosomal RNA, internal transcribed spacer 2, and large subunit ribosomal RNA". The stretch from base 1 to 120 matches the Rfam family "5.8S ribosomal RNA", at positions 35 to 154 of the family's 154-position model. The record is from RNAcentral.